This is a long non-coding RNA of Agrilus planipennis (emerald ash borer), 1896 nucleotides long. RefSeq lists it as uncharacterized. The transcript has 3 exons. Lineage: Eukaryota; Metazoa; Arthropoda; Insecta; Coleoptera; Buprestidae. The record is from RefSeq and is a predicted model, not a curated record.
UAUUCGCUUUACUAUAUUUUUAUUCCUAAUUUAACUGUCUAGCUUUUUUAUAUUAAUUAUAACUGAAAGUCUGGAAGAAGGAUUAAUAGGAGCUUAUGUUUUUUCUUCAGAGGAGCUUCAUUUAUUUAAAGAAAUGGGUUGAUUUUUACCCAACUAAUUGACUUAACCAAUGUCAGUUUCUAAAUUUAAACAUGAAAAAUGAAUUUCAUGUUGGAUUCUUUGAAUUUAGUCAAUUAAUGUUAAUAAUUUGUAUUCAGAAAUAAUUAUGGUAAAUGAAAUUAUUUUACAAAUAAGUAAAGAAGAGGUGUUUCUAAUAUCUAAAAGCACUCUGCGCUGAAAAAAAGCAAAUACUUUUCAAAAGUACAGAUACAAUUUUGACAAUAUAUUUUAAAUUAUUUGCUUUCUUCUUUCCAUUCCUGCAACUUCCGCUUUUACGGAAUGAUUUUUUUCCGUAAUGAAUGUAAAAUGUAAAAAAGAAAGAAAUAGAGCAUAUUUUAAUUUAAUUAAAAAUGAAUUUUUAGUUUAGUUUAAUAUGAAUCUAUGUUGCUCAGAUUUCUAUAAUUAUUUUAUAUAUCAUUGAUGGUCAAAGUGAAGAGCAGUAACAAAUAUAUAUGGAAAAAUACAUAAUGAUUAAAAAUAUAUUUGUACUUUUUUCUUGAAUUUCCCAAAAGUACGAUAUUUUUACAUCUUUUUGGGAAAAAUACUAUAUUUGUACAAAACAAGGUGAUAACCGUACCUCUAACUUUAGAGGUCAGGAGACCAAAUGCCGUUAUCAGCAAUCACAAUAAGAAAUUCAAAUUACACCUUAAUUAAAAUGAAGGUGUUAAUUAUAACGGGAAGCAUCCAAUUAGUCGUUAUAUGAUGCAUAAUAUAUAAUAUUUCCAAGUGUUUUUCCAUGGUUAACACAGUACAACUGGAAGAACGAUGAACACGCGACCCGACGCGACACGACAACAAUAAAAAUAAAAAUGUAAAUAAUCAUAAACUAUAGUAACAAUAGUCUACGCAUGAUGGAUAAUCUCCUGUAAUCUUAAAAAGAGAGUGCUCUGCCCAAUAAGUAUGUGGCUUGCUAAAAGUAUAACGCGAACUGCGUAAAAGAUAGUGUGUGUUGGUUUUAUAAAUUUUGAAAUAAAACUGAGGUAAUAAAAGGAGUUGGAUAGUUUACUAUAUUAAACUCUAAGAGAAAAGAUACAAAAUAAAGCUUCAAUUAUCUUCAAUAAAUGUCGUUUCAAAAAUAUGUAUACAUCUAUGACAUAAACACUUGCCGCGUAUUAUGGAGGGUAGAAUUUGAUAACCGAAAAUUCCGAAAUUGAUGCGAAGUCCCUCAUCGUGCAGUAUAUGAAUACGUUUUCCAAUCUUUACUAGUGAUGUUGAUGUUUUUUAGACUCAUUCGCAUGAAAUUUAUGCUCCUAUAUCUAGUAUAAUUAUGAAACUAUAUUUAUUCCGUAUCUAUACCAUUAAUACUACUACGCGAUUGGGCGAGUUGCCGCUUCCAAUUAUCGAUUUGUGCGUCUAAACAAUGUGUAUCCGUUGAGAAGCAUGCACGUGAUAAUCAAUGCAUUGAUUCCCGACAGCUCUUAAGCAUGCCUGCAGGCAGAGACCGAUCGAUGGUCGACAAUCUUUGUACUAAACGCCGAGGGUAAUAAUCAUACCAUGAGUGACACAUAUUUGCCGCUUAACAAUAGGAGUUCCAGGAUUCUUGAGUAAAAUGAAGACUGUUGCAGAGGAUUCCCGGAUAAAAGAAGUAGGCUUCUAGAUGAUAGACGGGGUUAGUUAGCCAGUCAGUUAGUUUAUGGGUAGCUGAGCAGUAAUAUAAAUAAGCAGUGUGAAUACAGGCUGAUAUCUGAUAUAAAUACAUUGACUAGUACAUAUUAAGCAUUACAAAUACAGUGUGAU